GUCACUAAAAGGAACCAGCCCCAGCUACUUCACUGCAGGCUGGUGCCCUGGUGAAGGUGAAUCAGUCAGAGGAGUGCUGACUGCCCAUGGGGCUGCACCAUAUCAUGGUUCCCACUAGCAAUAUAUGAGAGUUCCAGUUGCUCCACAACCUCGCCAACAUAUGACAGGUGCUGCAAGAGGAUGGUUAUUUAACGCUGGCCCCCAAGGAGGAAGGCACAGACCUUCCUCCUCCUGGAACAUCCAAGGGCACUGGAUCCUCUGUGUCCCUCUGAGAUGGGGUGCCACUCCAGCAAGAGCACCACGGUGGCAGCUGAGUCCCAGAAGCUUGAAGAAGAGCGCGAGGGAAGAGAGCCAGGUCUGGAGACCGGCACCCAGGCAGCAGACUGCAAGGAUGCCCCGCUGAAGGAUGGAACCCCUGAGCCAAAGAGCUGAAAUGCCUCUCUCCAGAGUCGGACCCUCACCUCCUUCCUGGAACUGCCUUUGGCCCCAGAACCAUGAGACAAUCCCCACCCUGAGAAGCUCCGAUCACUGGGAGGAGAGAGAAAGCCUCCAGCUUUGGGAUUCAGGCUUCAGAAGUUUUUAGCAGCCUUUGCUCAUUGGAGAGGUGGGGAGGAUAAGUCUAUAAGGAAUCCUAUUUCCCCAGCUCUCCCACAGAGAGGACAAAAGAAGUCUUCACACGUUGUGGAACUUUCCUGCAACUUCUGGAUGCAGACAAGCCUCAGAGCAGACUGUUCUGGCUCCAGUGAAUAUCGGCUGCCAAGCUGUGAGCAUCCAGGGAUCCCCGUCUGCCUGGCUUUCCUGAAGUCAGAAGGCGCCUUGGUCAUACUGUGUGGGGUGUGUGGAUCUCAGUUUGCUCUCUUUCUUUCUCCUUUUUUCAACAGCUGGCGGAGUAGCCAACACCCCUGACAGCAAUGUGUUGCACUUGGCUCACUCCACACCCUAUGAAUAAUUUUAAUAUUUAACUUGAAAUGUUGUUAAGAAACUAUGGAAAAUAUCAGGAUCCCACUGGGAUCCCGUAAAUUGAAGGCAACAAGGUCUUGGUCCUCCAGUAAGGGGGGCAUGGAGCCCUGGUGGGAAGGAAAGAAGAGAAAUUUGUGUUCCUGAUUCCUUAAUCCCCAAGAAAGGUCCCUCUGCUAACAUUCACAUAUCUCUUCCUAGCCAAAGUCUGUCCAUUUCAACCCUCUAGCAUCUGAGCUAUCUGCAUCCAGCUUUCAAAAAUAUUUCGCUGUUUACUAACAUGUCUGUCAGCCUCUCUUUUCUCCCCCGCAUGUGUUUUGUUUUUAAAUCCACUCAAAAGCGUUUUCAUUUGAAAUCAAAUAGACAUGUUUGCAAAUAAAUGUUGACACAACACAUUUGAAAGACAGAAUUGGGGAUCUGAGAUUAAGAGUAUCAGCAGAGAAGAGUGGGUGUAAUUCUGUGGAACAGGAGUGAGAACAGAGGCGAGGGAGCCGUUGCUUUGUGCCAGGCGCCAUGCUGAGGACUUUCCAUAGACGGUUUAAUGCCACCCAACUACUCCCAUUUUAUAGAUGAGGAAAUGGAGGAAAUAAAGUCACUUGCCUGAGUUUGGGCAGCCAGGAAGGAGCAGAACCCACAGUUGAGCCCCAGCAGUUUGGCUUGGGAAACGCAUGUAGAGUGCUUCUUAAAGCAGAGAGCCUUUCUCAUGAUUAAACUGAAAUACUAGUCCCUUUAUAGCCUGUGCAUAGUGAGGACCAUUUUUCUUUAUUCACUGAGACCUACCUGCCUAUUGAGAAGUAUGUAACCGGUCAGCUUGGAGUUGCCCCACUGCAGGUUGGGUGAUGCAUUGAGGGACUUUUUAUUUUUACUCUGGUGGUGGGGGACGGGGAGGGAGGAAGAGACGGAGAGGGAAAAGAGGAGGGAGGAGAGAGGGCAAGAAGAAAAAGGAGGAGGGGAAACAGAGGAAGAGAGGGAGGAGGGAAAGAAGGAGAGGGAGAGAAAGGGAAGAGGUAGGGAGAUGAAAGAGCGGGGAGAGGCAGAAUGGGAGAGGGAGAGAAGGAGAGGGGAGACGGAGGGAGGAAGGGAGAGAAAGGAGAGGGGUGAGGGAAAAGGGGUAGGGAGGAGGGAGGAAGAGAAAAAUGGGGAGAGGGUGGGCGAGAAGGAAAGGAAGAAAUCGAGGAAGUUGGAGGAAUGAGGGAUGAGGCAGGGAGGGAGAAAGGGAGGGCGAAGCAGUAAGGUGCUGCAAAGGACCCUUCUUUUUGGCCAUAAAAACCUGAGAAACUGAUUGAGAUUCUUUUGAGCAAUAAGGCAACUGCGGUGAGGAAAAAAUAAGGAAGGAGGCACAAAAAGCAAAGCAGUUCAGCCUGAAAUUGACUACAGAGCUUCCCUUUGCUUCAGCAGAGCCUGGAGGAGCAGGAGGGAUGGGGGCCCUGUCAGCUGGCCCAAAGCCCUGCCCUGUCCCAGGGGUGCUAAGCUUGCUGCAGGCCAGGAAACAGGCCUGGGCUUGCAGCUGGGGAUCAGGAAGUUUGGGGCCUCUUUGCACAGCUUACUGGGGAUAGGCCAAGCUCUGGGAACUCCUUUCAAUUUUUUUUUUUUUUAAGACAACUCUGUUUUUCUCCCUCCUCCCUACUAGUGGAAAUUUACCUUGCAAAACAGGACUGUGCAUGGUGAGAGCUGCUUGCAAUGUCCACACUCAGGACUCUAUGGAAAGAGUUCGCAGCUGGUGGUGAGGCUUUGAGGUGGGGCUGCCCUUAUUUCACUAGCUCCUGAGGGGCAGAGCUCACUCAGCUUUUUACCAAAUCAAAGGAAGGAAGCUUUAGGUCCUUCGAAGUUCAGAACCAGGGUGGUUUGUUUUGCUUCCUUUUGGAAUGGAAUAAAAUGCUCAUUUAAUUAAAUUCAAGUUCUCUGAGGGCUUUUAAAAACAGAAUUCUUCAUCUACCUCCAGCUGUGGCAGGCAUGCUGCAAUUUACUAGGAAGUUAAUCUCUAACAGAAAAAAGUACUCAGUUUCCUUUUAAGGACAUUCCCGUUAUCCACUGGAGCCUAGCAUCACUCGUCUGUCUCCCUUUGAGGUUCGAGAAUUUCUAAAGUGCCUGGUAAAAGUGGUUAGGAUUAUGUCUACUGAAAUAUAACUUUAACCUCUGGAAAAACAGGCCUGCAAAGGCCAACUUCCCAAACUGCUGGAAGAGGAGAGGUUUAUUAGUUAACGUAUCUAUCCAUCCAUCAUCCAUCCAUGCCUCCUUCCUUCCUUUCAUCCAGCCAUCUAUCCAUCCAUCUUUCCAUCCAUUAUCCAUCAUCCAUGCAUCCAUCCACCCACCCAUCUGUUCUUCAGUCCUUCCAUCUUUCUUUCCAUCUGUCCAUCCAUCCUUUCAUCCAUUAUCCAUCCAUCCAUCCACCCAUCUGUUCAUCAGUCCUUCCAUCUUUCUUUCCAUCUGUCCAUCCAUCCUUUCAUCCAUUAUCCCUCCAUCCAUCCACCUAUCUGUUCAUCAGUUCUUCCAUCUUUCCAUCCAUCCAUUCAUCUUUCCAUCCAUUCAUCUAUCCAUUUAUUCAUACAUUCAGCUCUUACCCUGGAUUUUUUAGUUACAUGAGGCAAUACAUUUUUUGCUUUUAACCAAUUGAUUCAUUCAACAAAUAUUUGUUGAGUUUCUACUCUAUCACUCAUCAUUCAUUCAUUCCUGUAUUCAUUUAUUAAUUCAGUGUUUACUGGGCAACUACUCUAUGCCAAACUCCUUAGUGUUCAUAAAAUGUUCAUAAAGUGCCAUCUUUGUGGGAGUACCGCCUGGAACAGGGUGGUCCAGGGAGAUCUUUCCAGUCUCGAUGAGACCCAAGAGCUUUCAAGAGUAAGUUGGAAUUAGACAAAGAGGAUGGUUAUUUUGGAAGCGAAUGUAUGACCUGGAGUUGGAUACAAGAACUGCAUGGGGCACAAUGUACAGUGUAAUAGGAGCCUAAGGUGCCCACGGCACAGGGACAGGGAGGUAAACCUUGACAAGUAAAAAAUCAAAUCAGGGGCUGGGCACAGUGGCUUACACCUGUAAUCCCAGCACUUUGGGAGGCCACGGUGGGUGGAUCAUGAGGUCAGGAGAUCAAGACCAUCCUGGCCAACAUGGUGAAACCCCGUCUCUACUAAAAAUACAAAAAAAAAAAUUACCUGGGUGUGGUGGUGCGUGCCUGUAAUCCCAGCUACUUUGGAGGCUGACGCACGAGAAUCGCUUGAAUCUGGGAGGCGGAGGUUGCAGUGAGCCUAGAUUGCACCAUGACCAUGCACUCUAUCCUGGCGACAGAGUGAGACUCCGUACCAAAAAAAAAGGGAUCAAAUCAUGAAGUGCCUUGUAUUUUAUACUGAGAGCUUGAGAGUUUAUCUUGAUGGGCGCAGUGGGGUGUCUUUCGGCAGAAGAAUGAUGCUAGGACGUCAGUGGCUUUUGACUGGUUAGUAUCCUGUUUUUUUAGUAACAAAUCUUAUCUUUUUCCUCAUGGGGAACCCUUUCCUCACUCUCAGUUUACAUGAUUGGGUGGGGCUGAUCCCAUUCUUCAACGUCAGCCUGAGCACUGCAUAGCCCCUGUCAAAGUGAUAGGUUCAAGGGCGGGUGUAGAAACCCAAACUAGUCCACUGAGAGUCUUCUUUGAACUUUUUUUUUUUUUUGAGAUGGAAUCUCUGUCACCCAGGCUGGAGUGCAGUAGCACAAUCUUGGCUCACUGCAACCCCUGCCUCCCAGGUUCAAGCGAUUCUUCUGCCUCAGCCUCCCAAGUAGCUGGAAUUACAGGCACCCACCACCACGCCCAGCUAAUUUUUGUAUUUUUAGUAGAGACGGGGUUUUGCCUUGUUGCCCAGGCUGCUCUUGAAUCCCUGACUUCAGGUGAUCUGCCACCUCGGCCUUCCAAAGUGCUGGGAUUACAGGCGUGAGCCACUGCGCCCAGCCUUCUUUGAACUUUUAAUUGAAGCAAUUAGGAAAGGAAAGUUCACCUUCUUUUAGAAUUAAUAAAAUUGUAGGAUUUGGCCCUGGAAACUCUUAACCACUGAGAAGGGACUGCUUGAGAAUGAAGCCACAGAGCAGAGUGGAGCAGAGUGGAGAGAAGGAGAGACAUCGUCCUGAUCAACUUGUUUGGGCAACUGGAUCCAGCCAUGCCAGAAUAAUUCUUCCCCUAGAAGAUUCACAAGCCAAUAAACUCACUCUUUUUGUUUGUUUGUUUACAGUGGUUUGAAUUUGGUUUCUGUCAUUUUCAGAGAGAUCUGAGUAAAUCAGAUCCACUUAGAUUUGUAUAUUAGGUAGAGCACCCUGGUAACUGUUUAGAGGAUGGAGUUGGGAGGGAUAAAGCUAGAAGCAUGAAUACCAAUUAGAAGGCAACCUAGGAAAAAAAAAGCAUACAAGGAGGGGCAGGUUUAAAGGGAAGAUGAGGGGUUGAGUUUUAGGGGUGUUGAGUUUGAGGUGCCCAUAGGACAAAAUGUAAAUAAUGAUUGCAAACACUUAUAUCACUCUUACCAUGUCUGAGCAUUGUUCCAAAUGCAAUACAUAUAGAACUCAUUUAAUCCUCACCAUCACACUGUGCUCAUUUUAUAGAUUAAAACACAGGGAGUUUUAAUCCAUUCACUGAUCCCAACUUGCUCCUUGGCUGUAAAUUCCCACAUUUCCUUGUUGUAUUCUGAAUUAAGCCCAAUCUCUCUCCCCUACAAUAAAACCCCGUUGUUGUACAGGGGGUGCAGGGGGGGUGUGAUGGUUAAUUUUAUGUGUCAAGACUGGGCGCAGUGGCUCACACCUGUAAUCCCAGCACUUUGGGAGGCCGAGGUGGGCGGAUCACUUGAGGUCUGGAGUUCGAGACCAGCCUGGCCAACAUGGCAAAACCUCGUCUCUACUAAAAAUACAAAAAUUGUCCAGGUGUGGUGGCACGUGCCUGUAAUUCCAGCUACUACUCGGGAGGCUGAGGCAGGAGAAUUGCUUGAAACUGGGAGGCAGAGGUUGCAGUGAGCCUAGGUCACAUCACUGCAUUCCAGCCUAGGUGACAGAGUGAGGCUCUGUCUCAAAAAAAUAAAUAGAUAAAUAAAAUUAUGUGUCAGUUUAACUUGGCUAAGGGAUGCCCAGAUAGCUGGUAAAACAUUAUUUCUGGGUGUGCCUGGGAGCGUGUUUCUGGAAGAGAUUAGCGUUUUAAUCAGUAGACUGUGUCAAGAAGACCCACUGUCGUUAAUCUAAUCUGUUGAAGGUCUGAAUACAGCAACAAGGUAGAGAAUUCUCUCUCUUUUCUUGAGCUGGGACAUCCAUCUUCUCUUGUCCUCAGACGUUGGAGCUCCUGGUUCUGGGAUUUUCAGACUCCAGGACUUAGACCAGUGGCCUCUCUGGUUCUCAUGCCUUCCGCCUCAGACUGAAUUACACCACUGGCUUUCCUGGGUCUCCAGCAUACCAAUGGCAUAACAUGGGACUUCUUGGCCUCCAUAAUAAUGUGAACCAAUUCCCAUAAUAAAUCUCCCCUUAUAUAUCUCGAUAUAUUCUGUUGGUUCUGUUUCUCUGGAGGACCCUGACUAAUAUAGGGGGUUAACUAGUUCUUCCAGCUCUCAAGGACACAGCUGGGGCUUGCACUAGGCAGUUUGCCUUUAGAGGCUGAGACUUGAGGAAUUCAUUUGGGAAUUGUGGGAACCCUUUUGGACCUCCAGGGUUGCUGUAAAGUUUAUUUUAAGGUGAAAAUAUUUGACCUGCAAAAGGUGUAGAAAUAACUCUUAUCUGAACUUCCCUUAUCUGACAAAAGCAGAGCCUCCCAAAAUUACAGCUCCAUUAACCCCACUCUGGGGGAGUUUACUGCAGAUUUAGCUGCCAAGAAGGCAGAUUGCCCAUUUAUUAGCAACAAAAAGCCCACUAGGACCUUCCACACUCCCUCAUUGAAGCCCUAAAAACCUCUCUCUUUUGUUAAGUUGAUAAUACAAACUUUUCCUUUGGGCUAUCCCAUGAGUUUUCUAUUAUGGAAACUCCGAUAUGCAAGUAGGAAAAAAAAUCCUUGUUAACUGGUCCUUUCUCAGUUAAAUUUGUGGGCCUCAAACUGCUGAACCCAACAUGGAAGAGGAAGAAUUUUCCUCCCAACAGAGUCAUCAGAACACAGCGGCAGCUAAAGCCCUUGUUGUAAGGGAAGAAGCUGAGGCACAAAAUAUAAUUUUAAAGCAUUUGAGGCCAGGCGCAGUGGCUCACGCCUGUAAUCCCAGCACUUUGGGAGGCCGAGGUGGGUGGAUCAUGAGGUCAGGAGAUCAAGACCAUCCUGGCCAACAUGGUGAAACCCCAUCUCUAUUAAAAAUACAAAAAUUAUCUGGGUGUGGUGGCGUGUGCCUGUAAUCCCAGCUACUCAGGAGGCUGAGGCACAAGAAUCCCUUGAACACAGGAGGCAGAGGUUGCAGUGAGCUGAGAUCGUGCCACUGCAUUCCAGCCUGGUGACAGAGCAAGACUCCAUCUCAAAAAAAAAAAAUUUGAUGAAGCCAACGUGAGGACAGCUGCCCGGGAAACACUUUCAACUUGGCUUGGGCAGUGUUCCAUUCAGCCCAGGUUACAGUCAGGUUUCAAAAGGCAAAAGGGAACAAGGGGUGGGCGGAUACAAAGUUGUCUGACAGGAAUUCUCAUUGGCUUAGGAAAUAACAUUGAUUAGUGAUUAGCUUUAAAUGUUGAACUACAGGGUAUGAGUUUUGGUGUCUAGCCUACGGCACUGUGUGGUUAAUUUUAUGGCUGCUUGGCAUCAAUCUAGAGCCCACAUAGCAAGUGGUUCCAAGAGGUGGUUACUUGAUUCAAGGCAGGAGUGAGAGGUGACUGCCACCACACUUCAGUGCCCUCUGGGUCUGAUAAUUUGGAGGGGCUGGCAUUCCUCAGGUACAGUAGAUAAGGUGCCUGCAUUCUCUCCCCACACACAUAUACCCUGAGGGGAGGCACUGCUUGGAGCAGAAAAGCAUCUAUCAAGGACAAAACUCUGGAAAAACCAACAUGUAAAGGGCAGGUGGAGUAGAUAAGCUGCAAAGGAGCCAGCGAUGGACUGGGGCUUGGAUUGAUGGGAGACGGUGACCAAUGGCUUCUGCUCACGGAACAUUCACCAAGUGCCAGGCAUUGAGCUCAAAGAUGCUUUAUAAAUGCUAUCUAAUUUGCUCCUCACAAAAGGUCUACCAGGAAGGUAAAAUUCAUACCUUACGGGUGAGACAGCACAUUUAUGAAGGUUGCAUGAAUUGCCCAAGUUAACAUAGCUAGUUAGUGGCAGAAUAGGAAUUUGAGCUCUAAAGACCAGGGUUUUAACCACAGCAGCGCAUUGAAUAGUCUCCUCCCAAACUUCGUGUCCACCUGGGACCUUUGAAUGUGACCUAAUUUGGAAAUAGGGUUUGAAGAUGUAGCCAAGUUAAUAUGUGGUCAUGCUGGAUUAGAGUGAGCCCUAAAUCCAAUGACUGGUGUCUUUUUUUUUUUUUUUUAGAAAGGGUCUCACUCUGUCACACAGGCUGGAGUGCAGUGGUGUGAUCACAGCUCACUGCAGCUCCAAACUCCUAGGCACAAGUCAUCCUCCCACCUCAGCCUUCCAAGUGGCUAAAACUACAGGCAUGUGCCACCAUGCCUGGCUAAUUUUUAAUUAUUUUUUUGGGAGGUGGGGUCUCACUAUGUUGCCCAGGCUGGUCUCAAAUUCCUGGGGUCAAGUGAUCCUCCUGCCUCAGCCUCCUAAAAUGCUGAUAUUAUGGGUGUGAGCCACCACACCUGGCUGACUGGUGUCUUCAUGAGAGAAAUGGGAGGAUUUGGACACAGAGACAUAGAGGAAGAAGACCAUGAGAAGAUGGAGGCAGAGAUGGGAGUUAUGCUGCUACAAGCCAAAGAACAGCUAUAACAAAGACUCCUUUGACCUAAUUCUGGUCGCACUCCUCUAAGCCCUCAAGGCCCUGACCUUUGGUCUCCGCAUCUGGCAUGUGUAGUCUAGUUCAGCUGGAUCAGUUUAGUGAAAAUCCCCCAUUCUUGAUAUCUCUCUCAAUAUCUUACCCUGGCCUGCCUUCAUCAAGAAUCUGCUGAGUCAGUCUAGCAAGAAUACCCCUUUAUCUCUGAUGUUUCCUCUCAGUGAUUUUUCCAUUCACCAAUCCCCAACUUGCUCCUUGGCUGUAAAUUCCCACAUUUCCUUGUUGUAUUCUGAGUUGAGUCCAAUCUUUCUCCCCUACAGCCAAAUCCCAUUGUAGUAGUCCCCCCGAAUAAAGUCUGCCUUACCAUCUUUAACAAGUGUCAUGAAAAUUCUUUCUUUAACACACAG
Molecule: long non-coding RNA, 9184 nt
Filed under: Homo sapiens (human)
Lineage: Eukaryota; Metazoa; Chordata; Mammalia; Primates; Hominidae
Description: HSALNT0386124
Source: RNAcentral